UACGGAGGGGGCAAGCGUUGUUCGGAAUCAUUGGGCGUAAAGGGCGUGUAGGCGGUCGAUCAAGUCGGAGGUGAAAUCCCUCGGCUCAACUGAGGAAUUGCCUUCGAUACUGUUCGGCUUGAGUCCUGGAGAGGGUAGCGGAAUUCCCGGUGUAGCGGUGAAAUGCGUAGAGACCGGGAAGAACACCAGUGGCGAAGGCGGCUACCUGGACAGGUACUGACGCUAACAGCGCGAAAGCUAGGGGAGCAAAAGGG
RNAcentral lists this ribosomal RNA (254 nucleotides) under uncultured bacterium. Its description in RNAcentral is "partial 16S ribosomal RNA". It matches the Rfam family "Bacterial small subunit ribosomal RNA", at positions 524 to 776 of the family's 1533-position model. The record is from RNAcentral.